Molecule: ribosomal RNA, 392 nt
Filed under: uncultured bacterium
Lineage: Bacteria
Description: bacterial SSU rRNA
Rfam family: Bacterial small subunit ribosomal RNA
Source: RNAcentral
GAUGAACGCUAGCGGCAGGCUUAACACAUGCAAGUCGAACGGCAGCACAGGUAGCAAUACUGGGUGGCGAGUGGCGCACGGGUGCGUAACGCGUAUGCAACCUACCUCUUACAGUGGGAUAGCCCAGAGAAAUUUGGAUUAAUACCGCAUAGUAUACAGAUUCAGCAUUGGGACUGUAUUAAACAUUUAUGGGUAAGAGAUGGGCAUGCGUUCUAUUAGUUAGUUGGAGUGGUAACGGCACCCCAAGACAGCGAUAGAUAGGGGCCCUGAGAGGGGGAUCCCCCACACUGGUACUGAGACACGGACCAGACUCCUACGGGAGGCAGCAGUGAGGAAUAUUGCGCAAUGGGCGAAAGCCUGACGCAGCCACGCCGCGUGAGCGAUGAAGGCCU